Scophthalmus maximus (turbot) is the source of this 570-nucleotide long non-coding RNA. RefSeq lists it as uncharacterized. NCBI's taxonomy places the organism in Eukaryota, Metazoa, Chordata, Actinopteri, Pleuronectiformes, Scophthalmidae. The record is from RefSeq and is a predicted model, not a curated record. The transcript is spliced from 3 exons.
UGAGGGAGAUGAGGUUCAUCACACAGCGAGAUGAGGUUUCUUUGGCCUCGGCCUUCAUUUCCCCAAACGCAUCUUUUAAAGUAACUAAAGUCUUCUGACCCUGUGUUCCACUGUCCCGCGCAUCGUUCAUCGUUCAUCGUUCCUUUAGGAUCUCGCAGCUCGGAUCCACCGAGCGAGUCGGAGGUUGGAGAACAAUCACCCGCGACUGCAGAGCGUCGAGCUGAUCCACCAGGCCCACGCUGCCCUCUCUCCGCCCGGCGACAACUGACAAAUUGCUCCAAUUAUGCUUUUGAUGACGGCGAAGUAAAAUGGAAAAAGCACGGUGGGUCUAACGCGGGUCAAUGUGACAUGCUGACGUCCGUUUCCUCGGCAGCAGCCCGACACUCAGCCCCCGCAAUCGGUGACUGACAGGAAACACAGGGACGCUGACGUGAGGUGACCUGAACCUGAUGGGACGGUACCAGCUGUCAUUCACACUGUAUCCACGCCCCCAACACAUCCGGUGCUUUAUGGUCUAUGUGCCUGUCAAUGGACCAUAAUGUAUAUAAUGAACAUCAAGUGUUGAAGAAG